GCAGAGCACGGCACGAUUCUGACGGCAGCCAACGCUGUCUGUGAUUUCAAAAGAAAGCUUCGCCCUCACUUUUCUCUCUCUCUCCCGUUCUCCCACGUUUGCGCUGGCAUUGUGUCCUGCCGACUGGGAGAAAGAGCAGUUGAUUUGGGGCCCGUCUUUGGAAUAAGAAAUCAUUGCUGUUUCUGACUGGAGCGAAGAAAGAUAAGACUCCUCUGGAUUUCUUUGGAUUGUAAUUUUCUGGAUGGCUUGUUUCCGAGGAUUUGCAAACAUCUACCGGGAUAUAUAAUUUGACCAAGCAUCCAGAAAGGGAAAUUUGGAGGAGUUUUAUGCUUUCAUUCGUCCGGUUGGAGACAGCUAAAAAAGCGAGCCCCACUUAAACUGGUCUGCCCUGUGUGUGGCGCUUUGAGCUCUCCGCUGACCGUCCCGUUGGCAUGCGUAUAUCUGCGAACAUGUUGGCACCAGCUUAACCUCCUACUCACAGCCUCCAUUUUGGUUCACUUUCCUGGGACUGAAACCACAUGAUGAUUAUUUGCAGAAGGUCUCAGGAGAGAAAAUGUUCCAUUGACUUUCACACAUUCAACCUCAAGCUUUUAUCUCAUCAGGACCAUUGCUUGGGUGUGUG
This is a long non-coding RNA of Alosa alosa (allis shad), 622 nucleotides long. RefSeq lists it as uncharacterized. NCBI's taxonomy places the organism in Eukaryota, Metazoa, Chordata, Actinopteri, Clupeiformes, Clupeidae. The record is from RefSeq and is a predicted model, not a curated record. The transcript has 9 exons.